RNAcentral lists this ribosomal RNA (940 nucleotides) under uncultured bacterium. RNAcentral describes it as "bacterial SSU rRNA". It matches the Rfam family "Bacterial small subunit ribosomal RNA", at positions 1 to 932 of the family's 1533-position model. The record is from RNAcentral.
GAAUUCGCCCUUAGAGUUUGAUCCUGGCUCAGAUUGAACGCUGGCGGCAUGCUUUACACAUGCAAGUCGAACGGCAGCACGGGCUUCGGCCUGGUGGCGAGUGGCGAACGGGUGAGUAAUACAUCGGAACGUACCCAGAAGUGGGGGAUAACGUAGCGAAAGUUACGCUAAUACCGCAUACGAUCUACGGAUGAAAGUGGGGGAUCGCAAGACCUCAUGCUUUUGGAGCGGCCGAUGUCUGAUUAGCUAGUUGGUGAGGUAAAGGCUCACCAAGGCGACGAUCAGUAGCUGGUCUGAGAGGACGACCAGCCACACUGGAACUGAGACACGGUCCAGACUCCUACGGGAGGCAGCAGUGGGGAAUUUUGGACAAUGGGCGCAAGCCUGAUCCAGCAAUGCCGCGUGAGUGAAGAAGGCCUUCGGGUUGUAAAGCUCUUUUGUCAGGGAAGAAACGGCCGAGGCUAAUACCUUUGGCUAAUGACGGUACCUGAAGAAUAAGCACCGGCUAACUACGUGCCAGCAGCCGCGGUAAUACGUAGGGUGCAAGCGUUAAUCGGAAUUACUGGGCGUAAAGCGUGCGCAGGCGGUUUUGUAAGUCUGUCGUGAAAGCCCCGGGCUCAACCUGGGAAUUGCGAUGGAGACUGCAAGGCUUGAAUCUGGCAGAGGGGGGUAGAAUUCCACGUGUAGCAGUGAAAUGCGUAGAGAUGUGGAGGAACACCGAUGGCGAAGGCAGCCCCCUGGGUCAAGAUUGACGCUCAUGCACGAAAGCGUGGGGAGCAAACAGGAUUAGAUACCCUGGUAGUCCACGCCCUAAACGAUGUCUACUAGUUGUCGGGUUUUAAUUAACUUGGUAACGCAGCUAACGCGUGAAGUAGACCGCCUGGGGAGUACGGUCGCAAGAUUAAAACUCAAAGGAAUUGACGGGGGCAAGGGCGAAUUC